Molecule: long non-coding RNA, 898 nt
Organism: Triticum dicoccoides
Lineage: Eukaryota; Viridiplantae; Streptophyta; Magnoliopsida; Poales; Poaceae
Exons: 3
Source: RefSeq, a predicted model, not a curated record
UUCUUUUAUCUAAAGCUACAGCUCUUCGCAUGAUGUCUAUUACUCUUGGUUACGGAAGCUUAAAGUCUAGUGAGGAUGCACUGCGCGAACUGAUAACAUAUAGAAGAGCUUCACCCCAUGCUCAAAUCUUCUUCGACAAGGAGCCUUAAACUUCAGCUAUCAAAUGUGUAUAAUACCGGCCACACUUGAUUUUCAACUGGAAAGAGAAACGACCGAUGGAGGUAUCAGGCAAAUAGGGUGCAUUUCUGGGCAUGUGCAGACGACAUUCAUGUUGCUUCGCCUGUUUAAGAUGUUGUCAUUUUCAUCUCCAUCAUUCGGGUCACUUGAAGAGAACAGAAAUAUCGGGUCAUGUUCAGUUACCAGCAUUCCGGACUCGCAGGGAGGUAGCUAAUGUUCCUUUUAAAUGUAGCUAAUGUUAAGGAGAACAAUGGUUCCCAGGGGCACAAGUGAAAUGACACUGCCGGGAAGGCAGGUGCACCAACCGUGGCUUCACGGAAUUGAACAAUCCCCGGCAUGAGCUGAUCCAUGGAGGUUGGCUCUCAUGUCUCAUCGGCACCAUAGCGACUUUGUGAGUGGCAAUUAAUUGAUAAGAGUACGUGUGCUAGAAUAGCAUAGUCCGUGUUGACCUACGCUCAGCUGAAUCGUUGAUUCGUGGAUAAGUGUACGCUCACACAGAGUACAUAUCAGUUUUUAAGCCGCCUAUCCAUCAUUGAUAUCCAGGAAUCGUGCGUGCCAUACGCGUAGAUGGUGGUUGGCGGAGGGCUACCAUACGACAAACUGCACAACUAGAUCAGGUUUUUUCUGCCGAGAGCUACUCAGAUGUUCAAACACGAUGAAAUUUGGCAUGGAGUAUUUGUUUUUGAAUUUGCUCUUCACCGGGAGCAGAUGAGCCUGGGUU